UACGUAGGGGGCAAGCGUUGUCCGGAUUUACUGGGUGUAAAGGGCGCGUAGGCGGGUUGAUAAGUUAGAGGUGAAAUCCUGCGGCUUAACCGCAGAACUGCCCCUAAUACUGUCAAUCUUGAGUUCAGAAGAGAGAAGCGGAAUUCCAGGUGUAGUGGUGAAAUACGUAGAUAUCUGGAAGAACACCAGUUGCGAAGGCGGCUUCUUGGUCUGACACUGACGCUGAGGCGCGAAAGCGUGGGGAGCAAACAGGAUUAGAAACCCCAGUAGUCC
Molecule: ribosomal RNA, 273 nt
Filed under: uncultured prokaryote
Description: partial 16S ribosomal RNA
Rfam family: Bacterial small subunit ribosomal RNA
Source: RNAcentral